RNAcentral lists this ribosomal RNA (253 nucleotides) under uncultured bacterium. RNAcentral's name for it is "partial 16S ribosomal RNA". It matches the Rfam family "Bacterial small subunit ribosomal RNA", at positions 524 to 776 of the family's 1533-position model. The record is from RNAcentral.
UACGUAGGGGGCAAGCGUUGUCCGGAUUUAUUGGGCGUAAAGAGCGUGUAGGCGGCUAGGUAGGUCCGUUGUGAAAACUCGAGGCUCAACCUCGAGACGCCGAUGGAAACCCCCUGGCUAGAGUCCGGAAGAGGAGAGUGGAAUUCCUGGUGUAGCGGUGAAAUGCGCAGAUAUCAGGAAGAACACCCGUGGCUAAGGCGGCUCUCUAGUACGGUACUGACGCUGAGACGCGAAAGCGUGGGGAGCGAACAGG